RNAcentral lists this long non-coding RNA (1361 nucleotides) under Rattus norvegicus (Norway rat). RNAcentral describes it as "long non-coding RNA NONRATT005845". Lineage: Eukaryota; Metazoa; Chordata; Mammalia; Rodentia; Muridae. The record is from RNAcentral.
ACGUGUUUAAAGGAGUCAGAUGGCAGUGACACUGAAGACUUUGGCUCUGAUCACAGUGAGGACUGCCUUUCAGAAGCAAGCUGGGAACCUGUUGAUAAGAAGGAGACGGAGGUAUGUGUGUGAGCAGAUGUGUAGUGGGUACUUCAUGCAAGCCAGUGGGUUAUCUUUCUCAGAGAGGAAUGACGUACUGUGGCCUGAACUCUCCCCCAAGAUAAAUACCAUCAUUGUAGGCAAGUAGUGACCAGCCAUAAAAACCAUCCUGGUCAUUCUCCCUUGGGCUACUUUCUGGAUCGCAGUGUUGUUGUCCUCUUUGGACAUGGACCUAUACUUUUCCUUUGUGCCUUCUGGUAGGUGACUCGCUGGGUUCCAGACCAUAUGGCAUCACACUGCUAUAACUGUGACUGUGAAUUCUGGUUGGCCAAACGAAGGCAUCAUUGCAGGUAAGAUGGGUUUUUUGUUUUGUUGCACCUCCUCAUUCUUACUCAUAAUGUAGGGUUUUUGUAUAGAACUAAAUUAAUUUGAAAAUGGAAAUAUCUUAGUAUUUUUGUUUACAUCCAAUAAUUUUAUUUAUGAAUACCCUUUUAGACUAUUAUUCAUUCUCAAAACAUGGAUAUUUCUGACAAGCUCCUCCCUCUUUGUACUUUGGCAGAAAUUGUGGGAACGUAUUUUGUGCUGGAUGCUGCCACCUUAAGCUGCCCAUUCCCGAUCAGCAACUCUAUGACCCAGUUCUCGUCUGUAACUCAUGUUACGAGCACAUUCAAGUGUCUCGUGCCAGGGAGCUCAUGAGCCAACAUCUGAAGAAACCCAUUGCUACAGCUUCCAGUUGAAUGCCAGAGGAGAUGAUCUGUCCAUUUUUAGCAGGUUUGAAGGGAGGAUCUGCUUCAGGUGUAGUCUGGAAGGUUCCUUGGUAUGGCUCAUGAACACAGAGCUCAAAGAUACCGUCUUGAGAAAUCCUCCUUGGUACCAUGUGACCGGAGCAGAGGAAUUUGAAUUUGGCAGGAGAUUUUUCUACCACAGAGACCCUCACUUUGGGGUAAUGGUCCUGAUCCAGACCCAGAGUCUGGAAGCUUCACACUGAGUUGGUGACUCCAGCUUCUCUCUCCUGGAGGUCCCGAGAUGAUGAUUCAGAAAUUCUGCCUGGUGCACAGUGCUCAAACAGCAAUAGGAAGGCAAACUGGUAACCAGACUCCCAAGUCACAGUGGGACCCAUCUCUGCCUGCAAAGAGCAGAUCAUAGUAGACGAGAUAGGAAUUCCCAUCCUAUUUGAGUUGAACUCUCUUCUGUACCUCUGUGCUCUGUGUCUGUGCAUGAAGGCUCAGUCUUUAGAGGCACUCCCUCUAGUUGAUUAGCACUAUCUUCUG